CUCGCAGUUGGAACCACGCUUCUUCCUGCUGCCUGGCUUCGGUUACAUCGACGCAUCUAGUGUGUAUUCCCCACUUUCUCCUCAACUCGGGCAGUACUGUAUUCAUAUUAUCCUCGCCUUGGUGUACAUCCUGACAGAAGGUCGAUGCUGGUAACGCACGUAACUCGAGACUGCCCAACAUAUGGUUAACCACACUGCACCGCGUAUGCCAGUGUAGGCGGCGGUGAAACGAUGACGACGGCGACAACAACAACAACAACAACAAAAACAACAACAACAACAACAUCAUCAUCAAUCAUUGAAACAACUGGAUGCGUGUGUCUGUGUGCCUGACAUCACCACCUCAGUCGAUAUUCCAUCACCAUUUAUAUAUUUAUUUUAUUUAUUUAUUUUUUUUACUUUUAACAAUAUAUGGAAAAGUAAUACUUCACAUACAUCACAGGAUGCAUGAAUGAGCUCAUUUCCUGAUUCUGACAGGAAAAUAUCGUAUGAAGAAUUACAGAAUUUACAGCGAGCUUCAUUUAACAGCCACCAAAAAUUCUUCAUAAAUAGUUAAGCAAUGACAAUUUUGACCAAAGAAAUACAAAGGAAGUGUUUUUUUAUUAGUUUGGGUACGAAAAGUGCAGUCCUGAAAUCAAUGAGAGCUAUUUGGAGAUAAAUUGCCAAUAAAAGAAAACAUCUUUUCUGAACAUCUUCGUAAUACAGAGCAACGCAUUAUGAUUCUAUGAUCCUAUCAUAUCCUAGCAUUUGCAAAAUUCUGUCCUGAAGACAAAAGUGUGCUUGGACUUUUUAACGCGAAUCAUAAUUUAGUUUUAUUUCA
Molecule: long non-coding RNA, 820 nt
Organism: Scylla paramamosain (green mud crab)
Lineage: Eukaryota; Metazoa; Arthropoda; Malacostraca; Decapoda; Portunidae
Exons: 3
Source: RefSeq, a predicted model, not a curated record